AUUGAACGCUGGCGGCAGGCCUAACACAUGCAAGUCGAGCGGUAACAGAGAUUAGCUUGCUAAUCUGCUGACGAGCGGCGGACGGGUGAGUAAUGCAUAGGAAGUUGCCCAGUAGAGGGGGAUACCAGUUGGAAACGACUGUUAAUACCGCAUAACCUCUUUGGAGCAAAGCAGGGGACCUUCGGGCCUUGCGCUACUGGAUACGCCUAUGUGGGAUUAGCUAGUUGGUGAGGUAAUGGCUCACCAAGGCGACGAUCCCUAGCUGGUCUGAGAGGAUGAUCAGCCACACUGGGACUGAGACACGGCCCAGACUCCUACGGGAGGCAGCAGUGGGGAAUAUUGCACAAUGGGCGAAAGCCUGAUGCAGCCAUGCCGCGUGUAUGAAGAAGGCCUUCGGGUUGUAAAGUACUUUCAGUUGUGAGGAAGGUUGUGUAGUUAAUAGCUGCAUAAUUUGACGUUAGCAACAGAAGAAGCACCGGCUAACUCCGUGCCAGCAGCCGCGGUAAUACGGAGGGUGCGAGCGUUAAUCGGAAUUACUGGGCGUAAAGCGCAUGCAGGUGGUUUGUUAAGUCAGAUGUGAAAGCCCGGGGCUCAACCUCGGAAGGUCAUUUGAAACUGGCAAACUAGAGUACUGUAGAGGGGGGUAGAAUUUCAGGUGUAGCGGUGAAAUGCGUAGAGAUCUGAAGGAAUACCAGUGGCGAAGGCGGCCCCCUGGACAGAUACUGACACUCAGAUGCGAAAGCGUGGGGAGCAAACAGG
RNAcentral lists this ribosomal RNA (759 nucleotides) under Vibrio rumoiensis. RNAcentral describes it as "bacterial SSU rRNA". It matches the Rfam family "Bacterial small subunit ribosomal RNA", at positions 28 to 776 of the family's 1533-position model. Lineage: Bacteria; Pseudomonadati; Pseudomonadota; Gammaproteobacteria; Vibrionales; Vibrionaceae. The record is from RNAcentral.